GUGGGGAAUCUUCCGCAAUGGACGAAAGUCUGACGGAGCAACGCCGCGUGAGUGAUGACGGCCUUCGGGUUGUAAAGCUCUGUGAUCGGGGACGAAUGGCUGGUGUGCUAAUACCACAUCAGAGUGACGGUACCCGAAUAGCAAGCCACGGCUAACUACGUGCCAGCAGCCGCGGUAAUACGUAGGUGGCAAGCGUUGUCCGGAAUGAUUGGGCGUAAAGCGCGCGCAGGCGGCUUCUUAAGUCCAUCUUAAAAGUGCGGGGCUUAACCCCGUGAUGGGAUGGAAACUGGGAGGCUGGAGUAUCGGAGAGGAAAGUGGAAUUCCUAGUGUAGCGGUGAAAUGCGUAGAGAUUAGGAAGAACACCGGUGGCGAAGGCGACUUUCUGGACGACAACUGACGCUGAGGCGCGAAAGCGUGGGGAGCAAACAGGAUUAGAAACCCUUGUAGUCC
This 450-nucleotide ribosomal RNA is filed under the name uncultured bacterium. RNAcentral's name for it is "partial 16S ribosomal RNA". It matches the Rfam family "Bacterial small subunit ribosomal RNA", at positions 354 to 796 of the family's 1533-position model. The record is from RNAcentral.